AAUCAGAACGUGCUGUGAGCU
Molecule: microRNA, 21 nt
Filed under: Gallus gallus (chicken)
Lineage: Eukaryota; Metazoa; Chordata; Aves; Galliformes; Phasianidae
Description: gga-miR-6585-5p
Source: miRBase by way of RNAcentral